This is a long non-coding RNA of Rosa rugosa (rugosa rose), 3502 nucleotides long. RefSeq lists it as uncharacterized. NCBI's taxonomy places the organism in Eukaryota, Viridiplantae, Streptophyta, Magnoliopsida, Rosales, Rosaceae. The transcript has 3 exons. The record is from RefSeq and is a predicted model, not a curated record.
CUGUUAGCCGUGUAGCGGAGCCAGUACUGUGAAAUGACGAUUUUGCGUUUUUUUCCUCCCUAAGGUAUAAAAACUCUCUUCAGCUUCCGUCGGAUAUAGCGCGCUCUCUCUCUGAACUCUCAAAUCUCUUCACCGUCUACCGCCUGAUCUUUUUCUUGUCGCUUCUGGGUUGUUGGCUCCAGAGAGAGUGAAGAGAAGAAGAGUCUGAUGUCAUACUCAUACCCAAAAGAUCAGGUUGCAACUGGCGAAAGGGAUCCUCCUUCGAUGACAAGCUUUAUUAUCACCCAACAUCAUUCCAGUACUGGGUUUUCAAUUUUGAUCAAGAAUUGAAAGCUGAUCAAAACUAUCAGUGGCUUUGAUAUUUGAGGGAUCAUGUUGCCAAUGGAGUGAGUUGUCGUCUGUGUAUUUAGGUUGCAGUUGAAAUUGCUGGUACUCUUUCUUAAUUGGACACUGUUCUGAUUGAUUAUGCAUCUUCCAUUGUUGAUAUUUGGUUAUAUGCUUGACUCUUCCGGUUUCUGGGUCUUGAAUCCUUUUGAACGAACUAGGAAUAUGCUCUUCCGGGUCAGGAACUUUCCUUGAAAUUGAGAGCUUUUGAUUGUUAAUUGAGACGAAAAUUCAUAUCUUUGUCCAUUUAAGAAUCAGCUUAGGUGUGGAGUUGUAUGAUUAUGCUUGUACCCAGACAUCUUUUUCCAGUUACCCAUAAUUCUUCUUCUGAUGAAUUUCAUCAUUGUUUCUUACUUUACCUUAAUUUCAUUAACAAUGACUUUGAUUAAUCCACUUCUGACAGAAACCAGACUCAAUAUUUCUUCUUUUUAAUGAAAUCCACAUCUGAAAUUCUGAAUAUUUCCUUGAUAUUAUAUUACUCAUAAUUUGAUCAUGUAUCUAUAUUGAUAUGCUAUAUACUAAGUGGUUAUAGUUUUACCUUAUCUUAUCAAUAUGCCUAUUCACAAAUUCUUAUACCCUUAUGUCCACUGCAGGUAAUGUCUUUGCAUUUGUGUUUUUUGUCUCACCAGUAUAAGUUUUUUAUGGAGUUUAUAAGAAAAAUGAACACUUCAGAAACUUUUCACCUCGCCGUUGAUUUAAGAAUCUUUUUUUAUGUUUUCCGGACCAACAUUUAAGAGAAUCAUCCGAAACAAGUCCACGGAACAAUUCUCAGGAUUGCCUUACAUGUAUGCCUUUCUGAAUUGCUUGAUAGGCCUCUGGUAUGACAUGCCUAUCGUAAAGACUGGGAUCAUAUUGGUGGCUACAGUAAAUUCAUUUGGGGCAGUUUACCAGUGGACUUGCCUGACAAAAAAAAAUUAAGGUAACCAUUGCCACAAGUCUACUUUCAUUUCUUAUUGACAUGCCUCUUAGAACUCUAAUCAUCUGCUCUUUAAAAUGCUUGUUGCAAGUGAGGAUGUUCACUGAUGAAGGAGUGGAAUACAAUUGGGUGCAUUGCGUUUCAAAAGUUUCCAGUACUGGGUUUUCAAUUUUGAUUAAUAAUUGAAAUUAUAAGAUUAUUUUCGCCAUAGGGCUAUCUGUGGUUUUGAUAAGGAUGUCAUCAUGCUAUCAGGGGUUUAGAAUUGUGUGAUAGUAAUGGUUUCAUUGAGGAAACAGAUCAUUAUGGCCAGAGAAGUAGGAGUGCAUUGGUUUAACAUCUUCUAGAAUUGCGCUGAGAGAAGUAGGAGAGCUCCAGGUCAGACACCCUUUCCUGAAUUAUCUUUCCAUGUGUUAAUUUCUGAAAAGAUCCCGAUCUUUUUUAGAUAAUUCGAGAAAGAUAAAAUUGAACCGAUAUUUCAUUUCUCCCGAAUUGUGUUGGUUCAAUUUUAUGUCGGUCUGAGAAAUGAAAGAUACCGAUUUUGUGUUUCUACGGUCUCAAAUCCCUACCUUUGUCAAUCCAACGGCCCUGUUUUAAUUUCUGAAACUGGUUCAAUUUUAUGUCUGUAUAUUCGUUUGUUUCCAAGACAAUCACGGUUGUCUAAAGAACAGCCUUUGCUUCCUUGCUUUGUGCCUAGAAUUUCCAGCUCUGUCAAUGGCCACCAGCUCUGUCAUAGAAAGAAUGUAAGGUCUCCUAUUAGUACGUUUAGCCAUGAUUACUGCUGUUUGGUUGUAUCUGGAUUUGUUUUUCCGUAGACAUAUGCUUAUGUUUAUAUAGAGUUUAGGGUUUAGGGUUUAGGGUAAAGAAGAAGAAAUAGAACAAUUGAGGGAGGCAUAGAAAAGAAACAGAGAAGAAAUGGAGUUCAGAUUGUUAGCUUGAUUGAAUUAUUAUAAAUGGGAGUCAAAAAUGAUAUUGAUCGUAAAAUUUAUUUGUUGUUGAAUCUAAGGUUUUAGCUUAGCAAGAUUAUAGAAACUUUUGAUCAAUUCUUAUAUAUGGCAUAGGUUUGUCAAGUGUGAAAUAACCUGAGGUUUUUGAGGACAGAGAAAUGGAAGAAGUCAGGAAACACAUGGUUCCUAUUUAGCUUUGCUGAUAACAUUCUUGCAUGUUAAGCGUUAUUUUUGUAGUUAUAUCAGUUGUAGAUGUUUGUCAAUACUAAAUUAAGUCAUUUUUCCUCAAAAAGAAUGGACUAAUUUGCAUAUUCUACUGGUCAGUGGAAGCGUCGCAAGAUUGACAAAGAGCGUGGCUUGGCUGCACAGGCUGUUCGUUGGCACAAGACCAGCAAGACCAAGGCUAUAAAAAAAAAUGGAGUUUAUCCGGGCUGUAAGAAGAUCAUGGUGCUGUACAAAAGUUCAAAAAAGGGUCCAAAGCAGAUAAGGCUAUAACCAAUUAUUUCUUUUUUAAGAUUUAGAAGUUUUAAACGGAGAAACUUUUAUUCUAUAGUUAUACACUUAUAUGAUAUCCCGUGUUUGUAAUUGCUAUCUGAUUUAGACUUACACAUAUUAUGCUCUAUACUAAAGCUCUAGGGGUGGAUGAACAGUAACAGAGCUAAGUGAUCGGACCAUUUUGCUCCUCCUCUGUGGUCUCUUUUGCUGUUGUGCCCCUGACUAUCUCAUUUAUCCAUAUUGCACCGCUUCGAAGUGCCGCCGCUUCAUUCUUCUUCGAUUUUCAUCCAUCACUGCUUCACUCUUCAGGCUUGCGAUCGCUGUUCAAGUCGAAAGGACAAGUCUCAUCUACUGAAGGGAUCGUUGAGACAGUUGAGGCGGAGUCAGGGUUCGUUAGUGUUGGUUAUGUUGCCCAUGUCCGUGAGCUUCAAGGAGAGAUUCGUGUGAAACCUAGCACUGACUUUCCUGAAUUGUGGUUUGCUGAGGUGUGUAUUAUAGGCAUUGUUUGGGACAAUAUUUAUGUUCUGGUAUGCGAGUCCGUGUUCUUUUUGAAGUAUUUCGAGUGAACCCAGAAGCUUAGGACUGCCAGCCAAGAUGACGGUGGCAACUAGAAGAUAAUUAUGUUUCUGUAGAAUUUGAAGACAAAAAGCUCAGCUGGCUAGAUGUUGCAGUUUACAGGGCAAGUAUUAGCUUGGAUCAUUUAAAAUUUUUUGCUGGACUUAAUAACAGUUUUAGUUAUAUGACAUAUCCAGUGAUUCCAGUC